This is a long non-coding RNA of Pan troglodytes (chimpanzee), 3530 nucleotides long. RefSeq lists it as uncharacterized. The transcript is spliced from 3 exons. The record is from RefSeq and is a predicted model, not a curated record. Lineage: Eukaryota; Metazoa; Chordata; Mammalia; Primates; Hominidae.
ACUCUGGAGGCAUUGCCUCUCCUCGUCUUUGCUGAAGCCAGAGGUCAUGUGCUCACACAAUCAUAUGGAGAAGCAUAAAUGAGCUAUUUCUCAUCACCUAGCUCUUUUUAUCAGGAUUAAAAAUCUUUCCUCAAAAAGUCCAGAAGCAUACUUCCCUCUAGCCUAGUUGGCCAAGAUUACAUAACGUGCCUCCGAUGGAACCAAUCACUGGUGAAGGGAAUGCAAUUAUCGUGAUUCUAGAUUAACUGCAAUAAUUGACAUUCAUCCCCUGGAGCUGGGAUAGAAAGCCGAUUUACAGCAUCGCUGAGCAGGAAAAAAGAGAAGGCUGUUGAACAGGAGGCAACAGGCAAUGACAUAAUUAAUUGUUAAUGGAAUUCUAGCCAAAAGGAUGUGGGAGGAAAGGAAGGAGCCACAAAGGGAGAAUCAUGCCUAAGAGUUAACUAUGGUACUCUGAAGCAGAACAGAGACAGCAAAAGCCAAGAUCUUUGAUUAUCAGCAGACCUGCACUACAAGAUGUGUAAAGACAGCUCUUCAGGCAGAAGGAAUUUUACGAGAGAGAAAUUUUGAUGUAUACAAAGAAUGAAGAUUUCUGGAAGUGAUGAAAAUAAAGAUAAGUAUAAAAGUUUUUUCUUUUUAGUUACUCUAAAAGAUUAUUGGUUUUCUAAAGCAAAAAUAAGAGUGAUGUAUUUUGGCAUAUGCAAAAUUAAAAUGUGUGACAGCAAUAGCAUCACUAGUUAUGGGAGGGAGAAAUUGGAAGCAUGUGCUAUAAGGUUUUUAAAGCCUUUGAAGUAGUGUGAUAUUGUUUUAGUAAGACUGUGCUUUAUUUUUAUUUUUAUUAUUGAGAUAGGGUCUCAUUCUGUUGUCUAGGCUGGAGUGCAGUGGUGCAAUCUCAGCUCACUGCAACCUCCACUUCCCAGGUUCAAGCAAUUCUUGUGCCUCAGCCUCCUGAGUAGCUGGGACUAUAGGCACUCGCCAUCAUGCCUAGCUAAUUUUUGUAUUUUUAAUAGAGACGGGGUUCCACCACAUUGGCCAGGCUGGUCUCAAACUCCUGACCUCAGAUGAUCCACUUGCCUCAGCCUCCCAAAGUGCUGGGAUUACAGGCAUGAGCCACUGUGCCCAGCCUAAGACCGUGCUUUAUUAAUGAUGCACAUUAUAAAGCUUGAAACAGCUACUAAAAAUAUUUCUAAAAGAUAUAUGAAUAAUAGGCCAAAAGUGUAGAUAAGAUUGAAUGUAAAAAGAUAACCAAUCCAAAGCAAGCAGAAAAAGAGGAGCAAAGGAUGGACAGAAAAAUUUAAAACAACUAACAAAAUGGUAGGUUUUAAUAAGAAUAUAUCAAUAAUAAACAAAUUGUCUAAACAUAACAAAAGACACAGAUUAUCAGGUUUAAUAAACAAGCAACUCAUCAACUCUAUAUAGUCUUUAAGAAACUCAUUUUAAAUACAGGUUAAAAUUAAAAGAAUAGAAAAAGAUGGAUUAUAAAAACACUGAUCAAAAGAAAGCUGAAGGGACUAAAUAUCAAAGUAGACUUCAGAACAAAUGUUAUCAGGAAUCAUGAGGAAUAUGACAUAAUGAUAAAGAAGACAUGGCAAUCAUAAAUGCGUAUGAACCUAACAAUGGAGCUGCAAAAUACAUUAAGCAAAAACUAAUGGAAUUAAAAGGGAAAUUGACAAAUCCAUAAUUAUAGUUGGAAAUGUUAAUAUUCUCUCAGUAAUUAAUAGAACAGAUAAGUUUUAAAUAUCAAUAACUUUAGAGAACAUGUGAGUAACAUUGUCAACAAACUUAACCUACUUGGCAUUAGUAGAACAUUCUAUCCCACAAUAGAACAAUAGCACAAUACACAUUAUUUUCAAGUGCAAAUGGAAGUACACCAAGAUUGCCAUUUUCUUACUCAUAAAACAAACUUUAGCAAAUUUAAAAGAAUUGAAAUCAUACAAACCAUAUUCUCUGAUCGUACUGAAAUUGAUCUAGAAAUCAACAGAAAAAUACCUGGAAAAUUAUGGGGAAAAUGGAAAUUAAACAAUGCAGUUCUAUGUAAUCUAUGACUCAAUGAGUAAGGCAUAAUGGGAAUGAGAAAAUGUUUAAAAAUGAAUGAUAAUAAAAACACAAUAAAUUAAAAUUUGUGUAAUGCAUCUAAAGCAGUAAUGAAGGGAAAGUUAUAGCAUUAAAUGCUUAUAUAAGACAAGAAGAAAGACCUCUUAUCAGUAAUAUGGGUUUUCAUCUUAAGGAACUAGAAAGAGAAGAACAUAUUAAACCCAAAGCAGAAAGCAAGAAAUCAUAAAGAUCUGUGCAAAAAUCAGUGGAAUAGAAAACAGAGUAACAACAGAGAAAAUCGAUGAAAUCAAAAGCUUGCUCUUUGAGAUCAAUAACACUGAUGAAUCUCUAGUUAUGCUGAUCAGAGAGGGAAGCCAAAAAUAAUCAAUACUGGGAAUGAGAGCAGUGAAAUCACUACAUAGUCCACAGUAAUUAAAAGAUAACAAGGGGAUAUAUGAGCAACGUCAUGCCAAUAAAGUUGUUGCCACGGCUGAGUGUUUUAGGGGAGUGUUUGGCUGGAUGUUUUAGGGCACUGAUUGACUAUAGAUAAAAGAUUUUUUGUGGGUGAUGGAACUAUUCUGUGUCUUGAUUAUAACAUACAGCUGCACAGAUGUAUGUGUUUGUCAAAAUUUAUAGGACUGUACAUUAAAAUUGUUGAAUUUUAUCUUAUUUAAAUAAAUUUGUUAGCGCAGUUUAAGGCACUGUAUUGUGUCUCAGUCAUCCUUAACAUAUGUCGUAGCCAUAUAUAACUUUUGGACUUUUUCUUCUCUUGUUUUCAAUUUACAUAGAUUAAAAGAAUUGUUAGAUAUCAAAACAUUUGUUUAUUAAAACUUCUUGUCAUAGACUGGAGGAGAAUAUACAGCCAUGAAAACUACGUACAAUAUGGCGUCUUGAAUUGGAUCCUGGAGCAGACAAUGGGAUUACUGGGAAAACUGGUGAAGACUGGAAAAUAGAAAAAAUAGAGUCUCCAGGGAACUAAAAAUAGAAUUAAUGUACAAUUCAGCAAUCUUGCUGGGUAUCUACUCAAAGGAGAAGAAAUCAUUAUAUUAAAAAAUAGCUGUACUUCUAUGUCUAUUGCAGCAUCAUUCACAAUAGCAAUGAUAUGAAAUCAAUCUAAAAUGUCCAUCAGUGGAUGACUGGAUAAAGAAAAUGUAUUUACGCAUACACACACAUACACACAUAUACACACACACAAUAGAAUACUGUUGAGCCAUAAAAAAGAAUGAAAUCAUGUUCUUUUGCAGCAACAUGGAUGGUACUUGAGGCCAUUAUUUUAAGUAUAACCGCUCAGAAACAGAAAGUCAAAUACUGCACAUUCUUACUUAUAAGCGGGAGCUAAAUAAUGUGUACACAUUGACAUAGAGUGUGGAAUAAUAGACAUUAGACAAUCAGAAGGGUGAAACGGUGGUAAGAGGGUAAGGGAUUAGAAAUUAAUGGGUAAAAUGUACGUUACUCAGGUGAUGCAUACACUAAAAGCCCAGACUUCGCCACUGCACAAU